This 24-nucleotide non-coding RNA is filed under the name Mus musculus (house mouse). Lineage: Eukaryota; Metazoa; Chordata; Mammalia; Rodentia; Muridae. The record is from RNAcentral.
UAGAGCGCGAUGACUCCUGUUCCC